CAUUUAAAGAAAGCGUAAUAGCUCACUGGUCGAGUCGGCCUGCGCGGAAGAUGUAACGGGGCUAAACCAUGCACCGAAGCUGCGGCAGCGACACUGUGUGUUGUUGGGUAGGGGAGCGUUCUGUAAGCCUGUGAAGGUGUGUCGUGAGGCAUGCUGGAGGUAUCAGAAGUGCGAAUGCUGACAUAAGUAACGAUAAAGCGGGUGAAAAGCCCGCUCGCCGGAAGACCAAGGGUUCCUGUCCAACGUUAAUCGGGGCAGGGUGAGUCGACCCCUAAGGCGAGGCCGAAAGGCGUAGUCGAUGGGAAACGGGUUAAUAUUCCCGUACUUGGUGUUACUGCGAAGGGGGGACGGAGAAGGCUAUGUUGGCCGGGCGACGGUUGUCCCGGUUUAAGCGUGUAGGUGUGUGUUCCAGGUAAAUCCGGUUCACUUUAACACUGAGGCGUGACGACGAGGCACUACGGUGCUGAAGCAACAAAUGCCCUGCUUCCAGGAAAAGCCUCUAAGCAUCAGGUAACAUCAAAUCGUACCCCAAACCGA
This 537-nucleotide ribosomal RNA is filed under the name Salmonella enterica. RNAcentral's name for it is "partial 23S ribosomal RNA". It matches the Rfam family "Bacterial large subunit ribosomal RNA", at positions 1120 to 1657 of the family's 2925-position model. Lineage: Bacteria; Pseudomonadati; Pseudomonadota; Gammaproteobacteria; Enterobacterales; Enterobacteriaceae. The record is from RNAcentral.